RNAcentral lists this ribosomal RNA (443 nucleotides) under uncultured bacterium. RNAcentral describes it as "partial 16S ribosomal RNA". It matches the Rfam family "Bacterial small subunit ribosomal RNA", at positions 338 to 795 of the family's 1533-position model. The record is from RNAcentral.
CCUACGGGAGGCAGCAGUGGGGAAUAUUGGGCAAUGGGCGCAAGCCUGAACCAGCAACGCCGCGUGAAGGAAGAAGGCUCUCGGGUUGUAAACUUCUUUUCUGAGGGACGAAGAAAGUGACGGUACCUCAGGAAUAAGCCACGGCUAACUACGUGCAAGCAGCCGCGGUAAUACGGAGGUGGCAAGCGUUAUCCGGAUUUAUUGGGUGUAAAGGGCGUGUAGGCGGGAAAGCAAGUCAGAUGUGAAAACUCAGGGCUCAACCCUGAGCCUGCAUUUGAAACUGUUUCUCUUGAGUACUGGAGAGGCAAGCGGAAUUCCGUGUGUAGCGGUGAAAUGCGUAGAUAUACGGAGGAACACCAGUGGCGAAGGCGGACUGCUGGACAGUAACUGACGCUGAUGCGCGAAAGCGUGGGGAGCAAACAGGAUUAGAUACCCGGGUAGUC